AAAGGAAAUUUCCUUGAAAAUGGAAGCACUGGUUCCAAGUCAUUGUCAGUCAGUGCUUCCAUUUUCAAGGAAGUUUCCUUU
Molecule: non-coding RNA, 81 nt
Organism: Paramuricea clavata
Lineage: Eukaryota; Metazoa; Cnidaria; Anthozoa; Malacalcyonacea; Plexauridae
Source: the annotation of a GenBank genome assembly